AACGAACGCUGGCGGCAUGCCUAACACAUGCAAGUCGAACGAGACCUUCGGGUCUUUUGGCGCAUGGGGGUGUAACGCGUGGGAAUCUACCCUCAGGUUUGGAAUAACUCAGAGACAUUUGUGCUAACACCGGACGAGGACGUAAGCCCAAAGAUUUAUUGCCUGAGGAUGAGCCCGCGUAGGAUUAGGUGGUUGGUAAGGUAAUGGCUCACCAAGCCGACGAUCCUUAGCUGGGUAGAGAGGAAGGUCAGCCACACUUGGACGGAGACGCGGCCCGGACUCCUACGGGAGGCGGCAGAGGGGGAUAUUGGAAAAUGGCGGGAGGGAUGAACGAGCUAUGACGCGUAAGCGAUGAAAGCAGGGGAGAUGUAAAGCUCUUUUACCCGGGAUCGUAAUGACGGUACCGGAUGAAUAAGCCCCGGCUAACUCCGUG
RNAcentral lists this ribosomal RNA (433 nucleotides) under uncultured bacterium. RNAcentral's name for it is "partial 16S ribosomal RNA". It matches the Rfam family "Bacterial small subunit ribosomal RNA", at positions 29 to 507 of the family's 1533-position model. The record is from RNAcentral.